This 333-nucleotide unclassified non-coding RNA is filed under the name soil metagenome. RNAcentral describes it as "partial contains 5.8S ribosomal RNA, internal transcribed spacer 2, and large subunit ribosomal RNA". The stretch from base 1 to 120 matches the Rfam family "5.8S ribosomal RNA", at positions 35 to 154 of the family's 154-position model. The record is from RNAcentral.
GAUGAAGAACGUAGCGAAAUGCGAAAAGUAGUGUGAAUUGCAGAAUUCAGUGAAUCAUCGAAUCUUUGAACGCACAUUGCGCCCCUUGGUAUUCCAUGGGGCAUGCCUGUUCGAGCGUCAUUUUGUACCCUCAAGCACUGCUUGGUGUUGGGCGUUUGUCUUGCAGAGGACUCGCCUGAAAGCGAUUGGCGGCCAACGUAGUCGUGGCAGAGCGCAGCACAAUCUCGCGUCUCUCCCCUCUGCGUCGGCGUCCAUGAAGCCCACAAUCUCAACGUUUGACCUCGGAUCAGGUAGGGAUACCCGCUGAACUUAAGCAUAUCAAUAAGCGGAGGA